RNAcentral lists this ribosomal RNA (253 nucleotides) under uncultured bacterium. RNAcentral describes it as "partial 16S ribosomal RNA". It matches the Rfam family "Bacterial small subunit ribosomal RNA", at positions 524 to 776 of the family's 1533-position model. The record is from RNAcentral.
UACGGAGGGUGCAAGCAUUAAUCGGAUUUAUUGGGCGUAAAGGGCGCGUAGGCGGCUAAACAAGUCUUAGGUGAAAUUCCAAAGCUCAACUUUGGAGCGGCCUGGGAAACUAUAUAGCUGGAGGGUAGACGGAGAAAAUGGAAUUCCACAUGUAGCGGUGAAAUGCGUAGAUAUGUGGAAGAACACCAGUGGCGAAAGCGGUUUUCUAGUUUAUACCUGACGCUGAGGCGCGAAAGCAAGGGGAGCAAACAGG